Molecule: long non-coding RNA, 2198 nt
Organism: Syngnathoides biaculeatus (alligator pipefish)
Lineage: Eukaryota; Metazoa; Chordata; Actinopteri; Syngnathiformes; Syngnathidae
Exons: 6
Source: RefSeq, a predicted model, not a curated record
UUUUUUUUUGGGGGGGGGGGUUUAACGUUGCUGUUCUGUAUGCCUCCAAUCCACGUGGUGGCGAUACAGCAGACAAAAGUGACCGGAAGCCGUUAAGUGAGCAUAAAAUCGAAGCAUCUGAGGCACACGUUGUUCAGUUGUGCUCAUGACGUGGAGCUGGAUUGCCACAGAAAACUAAUGGAAUCUUCAGUCUGUGGACCCACCAGGUUUGGGCACCUCAGGGGCUGGUCCUGCGUUGCUAGAUGUGGGCUGCAAUGCAUGAAGGUUCCCAGGUGAAUUGGUCAGAGGAAGUGUUCCAAAUCGUUCUUUUGGACCAUAGUUUUGGCUGGGAUGUGGAGGUCCGUUGACCACCGGGUUUUCUGGCCUGUGGCACACGUUCCAUGAUGGCCGCGAAGGUUGCAUUCACGUUCUGUGGCCCCCUGUUCCGCUACAUUGGGUGAAGAACCUCUUUUGGUGGAAAUAGACGGGCAGUUAGGCCGUCAUUGUUCAGAUGGGGAUGUUUUCCAUCCAUUUUGGUACACUUACAAUCCUUUUGAAGAGAAUUGAAGAUUAAUGGCAAUAAAGUCAUAAUGUUCACUAUCUCCAAAGUGUCUCAUUCCUUUGUUCAUGCAUACAAAUUAAUGUAGGUAGGCAUGCUCAAUUGACUCUUUGCUCCAUGUUAAUCCUCAACUGCUUUCAUGAAGGGAAUCCAAACAUGUAUUAAAACUGUCACUGUCUUUAUUAUAAUUUCUCUUUAAACACUUUAUAUGCAUAUUUAUAGGAGUGUGUGUAUAUGUGGGUCACAUAUACAUAAUGUAUAUAAGUAGUAAAUUAUCUUUCCACAGUUCAUAAUUGUUUACAAAAAAAAAAUCUCUUAGAUGAACAAAAAUUGCUUUCUAUGCAGUUGAGCCAAAUGUUUAUUGAUGGACAUGACCUGUCUGAAACAAGUAGGAUGUUUUUGCAUAAAAAUAAAACCAAGCUGGUCAACAACAACAAAAGUAAAUAAAAUAGAGGGCUCAAAACUGGAUAGAAAGCAGCGGCGUUUAUCUUUUCAUUUGGAAGACGAGAUUCUGUAUAGAACUUAAAAGCACACCUUAAUUCGUCCUUAUUGUUAUUCACAAUCAUCACGAGAUGACCAAUCACAGCAUAUUACACUAUUACCAUGAAACCCCAAAUUAAAUGUAAAUGUUUGUGUGAGAGAGAGCCCUUUUUUCAAGUUUCUCAAUUUCUUUUAGUGCUGCAUCAUUAGAAUUUUAGCAUCUUAGCACUAUGUGAGCAUGUUAGCGUCCCAGCACUGAACCUUGACUUCCAAAAAUGAGAUUAACUGUAGCAAAAAAAAUAUAUACGUAUGAAAUGUGCUCAAAUGCAAAAAUACUUUGUCUGGUACUCAAAGCAUGGGAAUAACAGUAAGGACGAAAAAAUGAAAUCAUCUUGCUCCUGAUGUCCGCUGACCCGGUAAAAAGUUGUACAGAGAAUCCAAAUACUGUAGUAAAACGAGUUCCCCGGGAUGGGAAGAAAGUGGGACAUGGCAGUUUGUAUGCAGGAAGUGGCUUUGCCAGACAGGAAGUCCUCAAAUGUCCUUGUGUAUUUUAAAGAAACUCGUUAUACCUGUAUAUCUCCAAUAAAGGUGUGUUUGUGCAUGAAUGGAAAGCUGUUUGGGCAUUUAUUAGACAUACUCGUGCCCUGAUUUAUCCAUGCACUACUUUCCCCCCUUUUUUUUUUGUCCUCACUCGUACGACAAUUCAGUGCUUAGUCUAGUAAAACAACGGGCACAUUUAUAGAGCUCGUGCACAUGACGUCACCGAUUUCAUUGCGCCAUAUUGCAAGUCAAACAACUGCUCGACAUUGUGGGAGACAUUGAACGGGAGCAGAAUAUUCACAAUGCCUGACACCUCUUGUAUUGUCGGUUGUCACAACAAACGAGACAGAUCUUUAAAUAGAUCAUUGUAUGGAAUACCAGUUGAAAAGACCAACAGAUUUCAGCAAUUAAAGGUCACUCAUUUCAGGCACAUGGAGAACACAACAGUGGCUUUCCUCACAGACAUUUUGGAGAGACGGACAAACAGACCAUCACAGUACUCCCCCAGCAGCAUACCGUGCGGGGGCCCGUGAGGUGUGGCAUAGUGGCCCCGCUCGUAGGCCAGAACCAGUCCGGAUGCCGCCAGACCAGCCUGGUCUGCGUAGUUUGGCUAAAAGAGCACAAAGUAUUUCAGUUAAUA